AUUGAACGCUGGCGGCAGGCCUAACACAUGCAAGUCGAGCGGCUGCAGGGAGCUUGCUCCUGGAUUCAGCGGCGGACGGGUGAGUAAUGCCUAGGAAUCUGCCUGGUAGUGGGGGCUAACGUCCGGAAACGGGCGCUAAUACCGCAUACGUCCUGAGGGAGAAAGUGUGGGAUCUUCGGAUCUUCCGCUCUCAGAUGAGCCGAGGUCGGAUUAGCUAGUUGGUGGGGUAAAGGCCUACCAAGGCGACGAUCCGUAACUGGUCUGAGAGGAUGAUCAGUCACACUGGAACUGAGACACGGUCCAGACUCCUACGGGAGGCAGCAGUGGGGAAUAUUGGACAAUGGGCGAAAGCCUGAUCCAGCCAUGCCGCGUGUGUGAAGAAGGUCUUCGGAUUGUAAAGCACUUUAAGUUGGGAGGAAGGGCAGUAAGUUAAUACCUUGCUGUUUUGACGGUACCAACAGAAUAAGCACCGGCUAACUUCGUG
Molecule: ribosomal RNA, 484 nt
Filed under: uncultured bacterium
Lineage: Bacteria
Description: partial 16S ribosomal RNA
Rfam family: Bacterial small subunit ribosomal RNA
Source: RNAcentral